UGCCCUUGUAGUAUAAACCAAUACACCGGUCUUGUAAGCCGGAAAUGAAACUUUUCCUUCCAAGGACA
RNAcentral lists this transfer RNA (68 nucleotides) under Hoolock leuconedys (eastern hoolock gibbon). RNAcentral describes it as "tRNA-Thr". It matches the Rfam family "tRNA". From Rfam's summary of the family: Transfer RNA (tRNA) molecules are approximately 80 nucleotides in length. Their secondary structure includes four short double-helical elements and three loops (D, anti-codon, and T loops). The record is from RNAcentral. RNAcentral also lists the same sequence under 2 other names. Lineage: Eukaryota; Metazoa; Chordata; Mammalia; Primates; Hylobatidae.